UAAAAGAGAGUAAUGAUAAUGAGGUUGUAAUUUAAGAGUGAGUAAUGAUGAUGAGGUCAUAGUUUAAAAGAGGGCAAUGAUGAUGAGGUCGUAGUUUAAGAAUGAGUAACAAUGAUGAGGUUGUAGUUUAAAAGAGAGUAAUGAUGAUGUGGUUGUAGUUUAAAAGUGAGUAACGAUGAUGAGGUCGUUGUUUAAAAGAGAGUAAGAAUGACAAGGUCGCAGUUUAAGAGCAAAUAAUGAUGACGAGGUCAUAGUUUAAGAGCAAGUAACGAUGAUGAGGUCGUAGUUUAAAGCGAGUAAUGAUGACAAGGUAGCAGUUUAAAGCGAGUAAUGAUGACAAGGUCAUAGUUUAAAGAGAGUAAUGAUGAUGAGGUCAUAGUUUAAAGUGAGUAACAAUGACAAGGUCAUAGUUUAAAGUGAGUAACGAUGACAAGGUUGUAGUUUAAAGUGAGUAACGAUGACGAGGUAGCAGUUUAAAGUGAGUAAUGCUGACGAGGUCGUAGUUUAAAGCGAGUAAUGAUGACAAGGUCAUAGUUUAAAGAGAGUAAUGAUGAUGAGGUCAUAGUUUAAAGUGAGUAACAAUGACAAGGUCAUAGUUUAAAGUGAGUAACGAUGACAAGGUUGUAGUUUAAAGUGAGUAACGAUGACGAGGUAGCAGUUUAAAGUGAGUAAUGCUGACGAGGUCGUAGUUUAAAGCGAGUAAUGAUGACAAGGUCAUAGUUUAAAGAGAGUAAUGAUGAUGAGGUUGUAGUUUAAAGUGAGUAACGAUGACGAGGUUGUAGUUUAAAGUGAGUAACAAUGACAAGGUCAUAGUUUAAAGUGAGUAAUGAUGACGAGGUUGUAGUUUAAAGUGAGUAACAAUGACAAGGUCAUAGUUUAAAGUGAGUAACGAUGACGAGGUUGUAGUUUAAAGUGAGUAACGAUGACGAGGUUGUAGUUUAAAGUGAGUAACGAUGACAAGGUCGUAG
Long non-coding RNA from Thalassophryne amazonica, 968 nucleotides. RefSeq lists it as uncharacterized. Lineage: Eukaryota; Metazoa; Chordata; Actinopteri; Batrachoidiformes; Batrachoididae. The record is from RefSeq and is a predicted model, not a curated record. The transcript is spliced from 8 exons.